GAGCCGAGAUCGUACCACUGCACUCCAGCCUGGGUGACAGAGUGAGACUCCAUCUCAAAAAAGAAAAAGCAAAAAAGAAGAAAAAAAGAUGUGUUCAACUCAAUAUGGACCAGCCCUUUGAGUCAUAUUCAUUAUAGUAUAUAGUGAUGUUUUAUGCACUUUUCUGUAUGUCUGUAAUAUUUCAUAAUAAAAACACACAUGCAAGGGACAAUGAAAUAAGUGCAAGGUUAAUGCAGAGAUAGUAGAUUGCUUAUUUGUUCUUCUGGUAGAUUGCAUUAUUUGUUCAAAACCUUUGCAGCCACUCCAUAUCAGUCCUUCUUACUGGACUUUCACUACAAAUCAUCCUUGCUGGAGGAUUCUAUUUCCCAUGACGUUGACAUUUACUUUAGCCAAUGAAAGAUGAGUGGAAGUGGACUGGUGCUCCUGAACAGAAACUUUAAGAGCGAGAGGAUGGUUCUGCCGUUUCUCUUUUCCCUCUGCCAGGAUAAUGUCAAUGUUCCAGGUAACAGCUGUUCCUGUGUAGCUACCAUCCUUCAUCAGAAAACUUCAGCACAAGUGUAUUACAUUGUAUCCCUCUCCUCAAAGUGGGGGAUAAGGAAGGAGACCACUACUACUCCUGCUGCCCUCCUCCCCCCACCUUGCCUAGUUCACAAGACAGGAGGAAAGAGAGAAAGAAACAAAAGUAAGAUAAACAGCCGGACAACCUUGGCACCACCACCCGGCCCUAGGAGUUAAAAAAAAGGGAGCUCGGCUCUUAAGACACGAGUCUGCCAACGCUCCUGGCUGAAUUAAAAAAAACCUCUUCCUUCUUUAAUCUGGUGUCUGAGGAGUUUUGUCUGUGGCUCAUCCUGCUACACCUGCAGCCUGGAUCCCAGAAUGAAGAGGUCAUGGGGCAGAGCUACAGCUGAUGUAUAAUAGGAAGCGAAAAGGAACAUCAUUAAACCGGUAAAGCCUGGCUGCUGCUCACCUGGAGGCCACGCAGAGUCGCCCGUGUGAGACACAACGGGGAGCAUCUCUCUCUUCUUGUGACUUAUGAUGUGAAGCCACUGCGUUCUUUCUCCACCACAUCUUAACACGCUUGCCUAGUGUGUCGUCACCAGCAGGCACACAGGCCUCCUGCUGAACUCCAGUUUCAGAGUGACCUUUGAGGUGUUCCAGCUAUACACAGAACGAAUGGCAUUUAUUUUGAAUCAGACGAUUCAACACACAGUCUCUCAAUUUGGUGAGAAUCCAGCUGUCAACUUUCAUAGAAUGUGACAACAGUCAGAAGCAAUUGGCAGAGAUAAAUAUGAGGACAAAAAGAUGGCAGAGUGAGACCCCACCCCACCCUGUUUUGUUGCAAGCAGCAGCAGCAGCAGCAGCAACAACAACAACAACAAAAUAGCAGAGCAAAUUAUGGAAGAGCAUCUCAUCUAUAAUGAAUGUGGCAGAUUUGUGCAAAUUGGCAAGCAUAUCUUUGCAGACUCAGGGAUAUUUGCGAAAAACUUAAGGAAGAUCUCAACUGCCCCUAUUUACUCCCCAGAUCUCAAGUGGACACAAGAUCCUUAAAAGUAAGUGGCAGGGUCCUGAAGGGUCUGGCCUACAUCUUUACCUGGAAAUAUGAUAACUCAGGGCAGAGGUGGGCUUGGAGAAUCAGAGAAGGUCACUCCCUGAGCCUAUCUUCAAGCCCCAGCAUGGCAGGAACCCGGGCUGUCAAGAGGCUCCAAUGAUCUUGUGCCCUUAUGUUGUCUGAGCUAGGCUGCUAACCCAAACGAACAGCCUGAGGGGAAGGUAGAGAGAGGAGAGAUGGGACCACACUCUGACAUCACCUUUGCACAAGGCCGGCUGAACAGAGGUAAAUGAACUGAACCACAUUGGAUAAAGGGAGGCCCAAGGUUUUAGCAUAAGCCACAGGUCACACAGUAAUACGGAGGAUCUGAAUCAAAUAACUCAUCAGAUUGAUGUAAGAGAUAAUAUUGCAUUGUGUAUCCCUCAAUCAGAAAAUACACCUCUGGGUUGGGUGUAGUGGCUCAUGUCUGUAAUCCCAGCACUUUGGGAGGCCUAGGUGGGUGGAUCACUUGAGGUCAGGAGUUUGAGACC
Non-coding RNA from Chlorocebus sabaeus (green monkey), 2079 nucleotides. Lineage: Eukaryota; Metazoa; Chordata; Mammalia; Primates; Cercopithecidae. The record is from RefSeq and is a predicted model, not a curated record.